This 3221-nucleotide long non-coding RNA is filed under the name Helianthus annuus (common sunflower). Its description in RNAcentral is "hypothetical non coding rna". Lineage: Eukaryota; Viridiplantae; Streptophyta; Magnoliopsida; Asterales; Asteraceae. The record is from RNAcentral.
UAUGAUUAAGUUGUCCUAUUGAACUUAGAUCUUGGGAUCUCCAGUCAACUAAGUUAGGUUUCCCUCAUAUUCCCAUUAACCACGGGCUUUAGUCCCAUUCCUCUUGACGACGUUUCUACUAACUCUCUGCUUAAGCCUUUUGUAAACGGGUCCGCAAUGUUAUCCGCUGAUCUCACAUAAUCAAUUGUGAUAACACCCGUUGAGAGUAGUUGUCGUAUCGUGUUAUGUCUACGUCGCAUAUGCCUUGAUCUGCCAUUGUACAUCAAGCUUUGAGCUCUACCAAUCGCUGAUUGGCUAUCACAAUGUACACAUAUGGCUGGCAAAGGCUUUGGCCAUCUUGGAAUAUCUUCCACGAAUUGACGUAGCCAUUCCGCCUCCUCGCCUGACUUAUCCAAGGCGAUAAAUUCAGAUUCCAUUGUGGAUCUCGCUAUGACCGUUUGCUUAGAAGACUUCCAAGCAAUAGCAGCUCCUCCAAGUGUAAACACGUAACCACUUGUUGAUUUGGAAUCUUUAUUAUCCGAUAUCCAGUUUGCAUCAGUGUAUCCUUCGAUCACUGCUGGUUGUCGGGUAUAAUGCAGUCCAUAGUCUCUUGUGUAUCGUAUGUAUCUAAGCACCCUCGUGAUAGCCUUCCAAUGAUCCGCGCACGGAUUGCUGGUGUAUCUACUUAGCCUACUCACCGCGUAAGCCAAGUCGGGUCUAGUACAUGUCAUUAGAUACAUUAGACUGCCUAUAAUUCUUGAAUACUCUAACUGAGCAACUCCAACUCCUUUAUUCUUCUUGAGAUGUUGGGAGGUAUCAACUGGAGUUCGAGCGACACUCGUAUCUCCCGAGUUGAAUUUUUCAAGAAUUUUAUCCACAUAGUGAGAUUGACUUAACACAAGACCUUCUUGGGUUCUUAUGAUCUUUACUCCAAGAAUCACAUCCGCUAAACCCAUGUCUUUCAUGUCAAAUCUCGCUUUCAACAUGCUUUUAGUAGCUUUGAUAAUUUUAUCAUUACUCCCAAUGAUAAGCAUAUCGUCUACAUAAAGGCAUAAGAUGACAUAACCUUCAUUUGUGUCUUUGAAAUAAACACAUUUGUCGCACUCAUUUAUUUUGAAACCAUUGUCAAUCAUGACAUGAUCAAACUUUUGGUGCCAUUGUUUUGGUGCUUGCUUCAAGCCAUACAAAGACUUGACGAGUUUACAUACUUUACCCUCUUGACCUGGGGCGGAGAAACCUUCAGGUUGCUCCAUGUAAAUUUCUUCUUCUAAAUCGCCAUUUAGAAAUGCGGUUUUAACGUCCAUUUGGUGAACUUCCAAAUUUCUUAAAGCCGCUAUAGCAAGAACCAAUCUAAUCGAGGUUAUGCGCGUCACAGGAGAGUAGGUAUCAAAGUAAUCUAGACCUUCCUUUUGUCUAAAUCCUUUAAUCACCAACCUAGCCUUGUACUUAUCAAUACUUCCAUCAGUUUUCAUCUUCCUUUUGAAUAUCCAGCGAUAUCCAAGUGGUUUGCAACCAGGUGGAAGAUCUACUAACUCCCAAGUAUGAUUUUGCAAUAUAGAAUCUAUUUCAUUUUUUAUUGCUUCUUUCCAUUGAGGUCCUUCUGAAGAGGAAACCGCUUCGCGAUAUGUAUUGGGGUCGCCCUCAACCAUAUAGCUAACAAAGUCUGGACCGAAGGAUUUUUCAACCCUUGGCCUUUUACUUCGCCUACGAUCGGUUUCUUCAACCUCAGGUUGUUCAUGUGUCUUAUCAUGAACCACCUCAUCAACUGGUGUAGAUGAACUUUCACCUACUUCAAAAUUGGGUGUUGAUGACGUUGCAUGUGUUUGUCUUCUCAAAGGAAACACAUUUUCAAAGUAAGACACAACGUUAGAAUUCACCUCCAUAAUAGUGUUUACGUGUACAUCAGGAUUCUUGGACUCAUGUACAAGAAAGCGAUGUGCACUACUUUGAUGUGCAUACCCAAUAAAUAUGCAAUCAACAGUUUUGGGUCCUAUCCUAAGAGCCUUAGGAGGUGGUACAGUCACCUUUGCUAGGUACCCCCACACUUUCAAGUAUUUGUAUGAAGGUUUCUUCCUUUUCCAUAACUCAUAUGGAGUUUCGUCUCUCUUUUUGAGUGGUAUCCUGUUCAAGAGAUAAUUAGCCGAGAGAAUGGCUUCCCCCCACAGUUCGUGGCUCACCCCAGAACUUAUCAACAUGGCGUUCAUCAUUUCUUUCAAAGUGCGGUUCUUUCGUUCCGCCACGCCAUUUGAUUGUGGAGAGUAAGGAGGUGUACACUCAUGUACAAUGCCACUUUUUGCGCAUAACUCGGCAAAAGGUGCAACAUAUUCGCCUCCUCGAUCGCUUCGCAAAGCUUUUAUCUUCUUUUGAAGUUGAUUCUCAACUUCAUUUUUAUACAAGAUAAAUUUACUUAUUGCUUCAUCUUUACUUUUUAGUAAAUAUACAUAGCAAUAUUUAGUACUAUCGUCAAUAAACGUGAUGAAGUACUUAUUUCCACCUGUUGUGGGUACCGCUUUUAAAUCACAAAUAUCAGUGUGAAUUAAAUCAAGGGGUUCGGUUAUUCGUUCAACCGAUUUUGAUGAUGUUCUUGUAAGUUUGGAUUCAACGCAUGUUUCACAUUUAUAGUGUGAAUCAAUAUGGAAUGUUGGUAUACAAUUUAAAUUGAUUAAACGGCGUAUUGAAUUAAAAUUUACGUGACCUAAUCUACCAUGCCAUUUAUUCGAUUCAGAAAACUCAAGCAUAUAAGUAGAAGUAGUAGCAAUUUUAUUCAUGUUCUUGACAGCCAUUACAUUCAAUUUGAACAUUCCAUUUUGGGCAUAACCCUUGCCUACAUACGUUCCUCGUUUAGUUAGUACAAAUUGAUCGCUCUCAAAAACUAAACGAAAUCCAAACUUGUUAAGCAACCAUCCCGAGACUAGAUUCUUGCGCAAGUCUGGGACAUACAACACGUUGCUUAGAGUGAGCUCCUUCCCUGAAGUCCACUUCAAGAUCACCGUUCCUUCACCCAUGAUGUCAGCGGUGGCUGCAUUUCCCAUAUACAGCUUCUCUUCUCCAGAAAGCGCCUUGAAGGUGAGACUUUUGUCUGCACAAACGUGACGGGUCGCACCCGUAUCAACCCACCAACCUUUUGGAGUAUUGGUCACCGUAUUGACCUCAUCCAUCAUUGCGCUUUUGUCGGAAAUCAUUGCCACCAAAGGCAUUCCGUCUUCAUCCACCAUGUGCGCACGCUCACGCUUUGGUUUCUU